This 504-nucleotide ribosomal RNA is filed under the name uncultured bacterium. RNAcentral describes it as "bacterial SSU rRNA". It matches the Rfam family "Bacterial small subunit ribosomal RNA", at positions 25 to 518 of the family's 1533-position model. The record is from RNAcentral.
CAGGACGAACGCUGGCGGCGUGCUUAACGACAUAGCAAGUCGAACGAGGAUUAUGUUGGAAGGGGCUUCGGACCUGGAAGGCGUAAUUCGAGUGGCGGACGGGUGAGUAACGCGUGAGCAAUCUGUCCCGGACAGGGGAAUAACGACUUGGAAACAGGUGCUAAUACCGCAUAAGACCACGCCCUCGCAUGGGGGAGGGGUAAAAGGAGGAAUCCGGUUCGGGGUGAGUUCGCGUCCGAUUAGAUAGUUGGUGAGGUAACGGCCCACCAAGUCGACGAUCGGUAGCCGACCUGAGAGGGUGAUCGGCCACAUUGGGAACUGAGAGACGGUCCAAACUCCUACGGGAGGCAGCAGUGGGGAAUAUUGGGCAAUGGGCCGAAAGCCUGACCCAGCAACGCCGCGUGAGUGAAGAAGGCUUUCGGGUUGUAAAGCUCUGUUAUAGGGGACGAAGGAAGUGACGGUACCCUAUAAGGAAGCCCCGGCUAACUACGUGCCAGCCGCCGC